GAAAGAUGAAGGGUAUCCACUUUCUUGAAGCUAUGAGCUUUACACUUGAGUCUUCUAUCACUGUAACCUCUAGGACUUACAAACUCAAACGUGUUUGCAAUUAGUUAUUUGGGGGGCCGACAUUAAAAUGAAUCUGGAAAUGAGAAAAUAAGACUACCAUUUGAGAAUAAACCUUUGAAAUAAAAAUACAGAAUGUCAGAGCACGUAAGAAAGGCAAGUUUAACUGUCAGAACGAUACAAAUUCAAAUGCUUCAAGGCAUGCACAUUACCAGUAGGAAAUGCGAGUCAAUGUCAUGGACCUGGUAGGGAUCUGGAAGAAGGGACUGAAAGGCAGCACCAAAGCCUCACCCACAGGGGACAGUCUCUACUAGGCUCCAGAGAAUUGACCUCACGUGGGAAGGGUCCAGGAAGGAUAGAGGAAGGGUCCAGGAAGGAUAGAUCUCUGGAUUUUUCAAAUAUUUUUUUCCAAUUUUUUAAGUUACGUGAAUACUCCUGAAUUUUAAAUCUUCACCUUUAUAUAGUAUGAGAUAAACUAAAGCUUUUGAAGGCCAGAUGUGCCAGUCUCGGAUUCUCAGAUAUGACCAUGCUCUAAACUGAUUCUGCCAAUAGGAAGGCAGUCUAGACCAAGAAACAGGUACAAAGCAACCUCAGAAGCAAGCAUAGUCCAUGAUCACUCAAAUGCUCAGGGAAAACCCUCAGGGAAAGGGUGCUCUGGGCUAGUGGCAUGCCCCUUUUUAUUAUAAAUCUGCCUUUAAUUCCAUUAAACCUAUGAGUCUGAGAAUCAACUGUCUUUUGACUCCAUGUGCUACUUUCCAUCAGGUUACUUUCUGAUUAGAAUUUGGUAUCCUGUUUACAUGACUUCAGGGAGAACAUGCUGGAAAGCUGAGGGACCUGAGGAUCUACGCAGCAGCUAUGUCUCCCAAUACAAAACUUGGUAAGUUGGCAGCCUGGUUAGAGAGGUGGCCUGUCUCCAGGCACAAAGAGCACUUCGGUGGGAACACGAGCUACCACACCCCAGCGGUUUCACUUCUUGUUGUAAAGGGAAGCAUUGUCAUUCUCGUUCUGUGCAUCAAUCAUAUGAGCUUUGUUAAUAGAAGCCCAGCUCUAGGGGACAGAUGGGCUCCAGAACUGCUGACAGCUCUGGUUUCUGGGCCCAUAAGGUCUUGGGCCAGACCAUGGAGAGUGAAAGACACCCUAAGACAAGUCCGCCCUGCAAGGCCUCAUGGGAGCUUAAGUAUUUAUCUUACAACCACCCUUACCCUCACUCUGCCCCCAUCGCCACACCUUUCAGAGAAUCCCUAUCUGGUCCUAUGA
This 1314-nucleotide long non-coding RNA is filed under the name Capra hircus (goat). RNAcentral describes it as "lncRNA (ENSCHIG00010017772.1)". The record is from RNAcentral. Lineage: Eukaryota; Metazoa; Chordata; Mammalia; Artiodactyla; Bovidae.